GAUGAACGCUGGCGGCGUGCCUAAUACAUGCAAGUCGAGCGAACAGACGAGGAGCUUGCUCCUCUGACGUUAGCGGCGGACGGGUGAGUAACACGUGGAUAACCUACCUAUAAGACUGGGAUAACUUCGGGAAACCGGAGCUAAUACCGGAUAAUAUAUUGAACCGCAUGGUUCAAUAGUGAAAGACGGCUUUGCUGUCACUAAUAGAUGGAUCCGCGCCGCAUUAGCUAGUUGGUAAGGUAACGGCCUACCAAGGCAACGAUGCGUAGCCGACCUGAGAGGCUGAUCAGCCGCACUGGAACUGAGACACGGUCCAGACUCCUACGGGAGGCAGCAGUAGGGAAUCUUCCACAAUGGGCGCAAGCCUGACGGAGCAACGCCGCGUGAGUGAAGAAGGUCUUCGGGUCGUAAAGCUCUGUUGUUGGGGAAGAACAAAAGUGGAAGUAACUAUCCACGUUUUGACGGUACCUAAUGAGAAAGCCACGGCUAACUUCGUG
Molecule: ribosomal RNA, 497 nt
Filed under: uncultured bacterium
Lineage: Bacteria
Description: partial 16S ribosomal RNA
Rfam family: Bacterial small subunit ribosomal RNA
Source: RNAcentral